Molecule: ribosomal RNA, 350 nt
Filed under: uncultured bacterium
Lineage: Bacteria
Description: bacterial SSU rRNA
Rfam family: Bacterial small subunit ribosomal RNA
Source: RNAcentral
AAUCAACGCUGGCGGCGUGCCUCAGACAUGCAAGUCGAACGAUUAAAGCUCUCUUCGGAGAGUGCAUAAAGUGGCGCACGGGUGAGUAACACGUAAGUAAUCUACCUUCGAGUGGGGAAUAACGUCCGGAACGGACGCUAAUACCGCAUAACGCAGCGGCAUCGCAAGAUGACAGUUGUUAAAGAUUUAUCGCUUGAAGAGGAGCUUGCGGCAGAUAGCUUGUUGGUAAGGUAACGGCUUACCAAGGCUACGAUCUGUAUCCGGUCUAAGAGGACGGUCGGACACACUGACACUGAAUAACGGGUCAGACUCCUACGGAGGCAGCAGUCGGGAAUUUUGGGCAAUGGGGG